RNAcentral lists this long non-coding RNA (669 nucleotides) under Rattus norvegicus (Norway rat). RNAcentral describes it as "long non-coding RNA NONRATT000901". The record is from RNAcentral. Lineage: Eukaryota; Metazoa; Chordata; Mammalia; Rodentia; Muridae.
GCCUACUUAAGCCUGUCUCUCUGCUUUCUGAGGAGGUAUUAGAGUCCGUAGAGUGGAGAGGAAAAAGAAGACAGGAAGUGCCAGGCUAGUAGUGAAAAUGCUCUGGGAGGAAAACAGGCCCCUAGGCUUUGCACAAGCAGGACUCAGCCCCUCAUGGGAACUAAGUGCCAUCUUUGAGUUUAAGAACAUUUGGACAAUUUGCAAAUGACCUUUGCUCCUUGCUCCUCUCACCUUUUAUCAGGCCCUACUUAGCACUGAGAGCAAAUGCGGUGAAAAGGUAAAGAAGUUUGGCUCCUGCCCACUGAUAGUCCUUCUCCCUGCAGUGUUUGUGUGUCAAGUGGCAAAGCUGUUCUUCCUGGUGACUCUGAUUAUAUCUAGUAACUUAGAGAUUGUAUGCAUUGGUCUGCUUUGACUCUUCUAUUCUGGGCUUUUGAUUUGUUUUUCAGUUUUGCUUUUAGUUUUCCUGUUUUUAUUUUAUGCACCAACUAGACACACAAAGCAGUUGAAUUUAUAUAUAUAUAUAUAUAUAUAUAUCUGUAUAUUGCACAAUUAUAAACUCAUUUUGCUUGUGGCGCCACACACACAAAAAAACCUUUAAAAUUAUACCUGUUGCUUAAUUACGAUAUUUCUGAUAACCAUAGAGUAGGACAAGGGAAAAAUUUUAAAAAG